This 95-nucleotide ribosomal RNA is filed under the name uncultured bacterium. RNAcentral's name for it is "partial 16S ribosomal RNA". It matches the Rfam family "Bacterial small subunit ribosomal RNA", at positions 1388 to 1482 of the family's 1533-position model. The record is from RNAcentral.
CACCGCCCGUCACACCAUGGGAGUUGGUUUCACCCGAAGGCAGUGCGCUAACCGCAAGGAGGCAGCUGACCACGGUGGGAUCAGCGACUGGGGUG